GAUGAAUGCUGGCGGCGUGCCUAAUACAUGCAAGUCGAGCGGUAAGGCCCUUCGGGGUACACGAGCGGCGGACGGCUGAGUAACGCGUGGGAACAUGCCCCAAAGUGAGGGAUAACGCACCGAAAGGUGUGCUAAUACCGCAUAUGGUCUUCGGAUUAAAGGAUUUAUCCGCUUUGGGAGUGGCCCGCGUACGAUUAGAUUGUUGGUGAGGUAACGGCUCACCAAGUCGACGAUCGUUAACUGGUCUGAGAGGAUGAUCAGUCAGACUGGAACUGAGACACGGUCCAGACUCCUACGGGAGGCAGCAGUAAGGAAUCUUCCACAAUGGGCGAAAGCCUGAUGGAGCAACGCCGCGUGCAGGAUGAAGGCCCUCGGGUCGUAAACUGCGUUUAUGAGUGAAGAAUAUGACGGUAACUCGAUGAAUAAGCACCGGCUAACUACGUG
Molecule: ribosomal RNA, 444 nt
Filed under: uncultured bacterium
Lineage: Bacteria
Description: bacterial SSU rRNA
Rfam family: Bacterial small subunit ribosomal RNA
Source: RNAcentral